UUCAGUCUAUUCACAUAGCACCAUCAAAUCAACACGGGAUUGUAACCCUUAUUUGUUUCUUGUGGAAGAUAUCGUAAGUGUUUACCAACAAAGACAAAUGCUGCUGGAGGAAGCUAAGAUUUCAUGCAUUAUCUCUUUAAUAUAAUGAGAAGUAGAACAAGCAACAAGCCUCAAGGUACUCAAGUGUUUAUAAAUGUGCUUAACUACUGCUAUUAUACCAUACUUCAAACAGUAUGCCUACUCUCCUAAUUAAACUGAAUUCCCAUAUGUAAGACACCUCAUUAUAUUGUAGACAAAAUAGCCUUCUGGAGUAGUUACUGCUACUAUUGUGCAUGAGGAUUACAAGAUUUAAUAUAAUUUCAUUUUCAAAAGAAAUUUAGAAUUAUGUUUCAUUGGUAUUAAAUUCAAUCUUUAUUUCCUUGGUGAUUGCAAAAAAUCUAGUAACUAUACGAAGUAUGCAUGAGUGAUUUAUCUAUAAGCUUCUGCAGAGCUAAUAGGACCUGCAUAAUACACUUUAUACCAUUAUGUAAAUUUCUUUGAUACUUCCUGAAGGAAUUUUCAGAUGUUUGGUAAACUCAUAAUUGCUAGGAUAUCUGCAUAAAUGCUGAAUGUACUGGAAAUGUUUUCCAGGUUAAAGACAAAUAUACAAAUAGCAUUUCUCACACAGAUAUGACUGAAGAAUGCAUAGUAGAUUAAUUUGUAUACAUAUUUUAUGCUGUUUUAGCUGUGUUUUAAAUGUAGGCCUUGCCUACAUUUCAGAGAAGGGAUGAAAAUUUUCUGCUAAUUAGAUACAAAAAGCAACCAUUUUUUGGCUGAAUCUACUGACACAAGAGCUUUGCUAUUUCAACAGCUUCAGCACAACUGGCAAUGCAUCUUUCACAUGGAAAAAUAUAAGCACUAAGCCAAUUAGAUAAUUUCUAUUUAAUUCACCAAAAGCCUUUUUUUAUUUUGCUCAGACUACAGUCAGAUUAAUUUUUUGUACUCUGCUGUUUCCAGCACAGAGUUCUAGAUACAUUGCAGCAAAAGGAAUUCUUCUUACACAGGUUGUCAGUUCCCUCAUAUACUUCACCCAUACACAUAACCUUUCAUAUGCUCACAGCCUCUGCUCCUCCUGCCAGCUGCUGUUUAUAUUGGCUGAAAUCACAAGUAUCUUCUCAAACUAGGCAAUCAUGUCUUGAUGUUAAUUUCAGUUCUUUUAAUGCCUUCUAAUCCAAUCCUAUAAUUGCAGUCUCUCAAGUCCUAUAGCAUAUCUUCUAACUAGGUCACAUAGAAUUAAGCAAUAUUUGAUGUCUAAGCAUUUGUUAAUAUAUCAUAAAUCUCUUAAAGAUCAAUUAACUGUCCCUAGAGAACACAAGCAAUUAUUAACAAGAUAGUAAAACUACAGUUCUCAAGAGACUAAGACAUUCAGUUGCGUUCAUCAUGUGUCACUUCUGUAAGGCAUUUGCAUUGUUCUGGUGGAUAUCUCUCUAAUUAAGGUUAGUUACACUCAUUUUAUCCCUGCUAGUCUCUACAAUACAAUUCAAGAACACGCACAGUCAUGCUGGAUAAAGAUAUGGAAGCUGUCAUGCUUCCAUAUCUUGAUGACCUGCUAUUUCUAAAAACAUUUUCUCUUCCUCUGCUAAAGUGUACUCUAACAAAUAAGCAAGUUUACAUAAUUCAAAUAAACAUCCUCUAAGAGAACACUGAAAGAGCAAGGUUUGAAGCUUCUCACUGCUCACACACAUAAGCUACUGUUUGUAUAUGUAAGUGAGGAAUUGUUGGUAUGCAUAGUAACACUUAGAAGCAAACUCUGAAGAGUAUCAGCUAGCUGUUCUGAUCAAGGUCAUACAGCAAAGCCUAUUCGUAAUGUUUAGUGGCCUAGGGGAACCCAGAUUUCCAUUCCCAAGAGAGUAAUCCUUUCUCACUCAGAUAUCUUGAAGGAUUGCCCAUGUUUUUAUAUAGUACAGCUUAACCUCAGUUCUUCAUUUACAGAACAGCAACACAGCCACUUUUCAUUUGUUGGGUCUUGUCUCUCCUCCAUCUCCUCCCCCUUACCUAAGAAGCCAUAGAUACAACAUUAAUAUGCACGAUUAUGACCGUUCAAAGAGUCUAAGCAAGAAUGACAGUGUUGAAACUCAGACACUGAAUUUGUGUGAUGAUCCACUGGUCUCAGUACAGUCAGCUUAAUCUUUACUCAAGGUAUCUUCAUCUUUUCUCAAGGAAUCUCCUUGAGAUGUCCUGUUCAUCAACAUUUCUCUAUCAGAAUUGACCAUCUCACUCUAUGAUGUGCAGAGAUGUCAGUACAGCACCAGAAACAUAUUUCACAGGCAUUAGAGAGAAAGCACAUCAUCUGUACAGCCGAGAGCUGAAGAACUGGUAUGGCUGUGUUUUGGAUCACGUCUCUGCUCCACAACUAUUUAAGCAUCUCACAGUC
Numida meleagris (helmeted guineafowl) is the source of this 2413-nucleotide long non-coding RNA. RefSeq lists it as uncharacterized. The record is from RefSeq and is a predicted model, not a curated record. The transcript has 4 exons. NCBI's taxonomy places the organism in Eukaryota, Metazoa, Chordata, Aves, Galliformes, Numididae.